GGUGGAAGGAGAGAACCGCAUAACAAAAUCAUUGCUGAGGCCUGAGUGUGGUUCUUUAGCUGUAAGCACUCCAAAUCAUUGAAAAAGCCUCAGGUGCCUUCUUCCCGUAUUUGCAGAACUUCUCUCAAGAGCUUCAAAAGCUUGAGGAGUAUCACAUGAACCAGAAAUCCAUUGAUUCAAUGGUAGGAUAGAG
Arachis ipaensis is the source of this 193-nucleotide non-coding RNA. Lineage: Eukaryota; Viridiplantae; Streptophyta; Magnoliopsida; Fabales; Fabaceae. The record is from RefSeq and is a predicted model, not a curated record.